Long non-coding RNA from Solanum pennellii, 715 nucleotides. RefSeq lists it as uncharacterized. The transcript is spliced from 4 exons. The record is from RefSeq and is a predicted model, not a curated record. NCBI's taxonomy places the organism in Eukaryota, Viridiplantae, Streptophyta, Magnoliopsida, Solanales, Solanaceae.
AAACAAAUGGCCCGCAAAAACAAUCACUAAAUUCCAAAUUAAGCUCCAAAGUUUUCCCAGCAAAAUAUUCCCUCACUCUACCGCAAAUUCACUCUCCAAAAAUAUUGAAAAAAAAUUCUCUCUGCCUUUACUCAAUUCUCUUCGACUAAAGAUCUAGGCUUUCUUAAUGGUCUCUUAUCGCUAGCCACAAAACCAUACAUCUCUAGAAUCACCUUCUCUCUUUUGUAAUCUAUCUCAACAUUAUCAGAUUUUCUUUUAUGCUUAUGAUGGGAUUGUUAUCAAUGAGUUAUUUUUGGAAAAGAGUUAUCUAUGAAAGGAAGCUUAUACAAUUUUUUUCUGAACAAAUAAAUUGUGAGAAACAAUGCCUAAAAGGUAAAAGGACAUUAAAACUAUAUCUAUGGCUGGGAGAAAGAGUUGCAGCUUGUACACGCCUUUUUGUAGCCUCAGCCUAUUCGCCAAGUGUCAUUCGUACAAAAGGAGGUCUUAAAGUAUGAUCACAUGGAAGAGCUUUAAUCUAUGAAGAGUUGCAGAAUUGAGGGCUAAUCAUUAGGAAAUUUGUUAUGCGGGUAUUUGAUGGGAAUACUUAAAAGCAUCAACAAUGUAGUUUGAACACGUAACAUUAUAUUUUAGUUGUUAUUUAUAUAAAGAGUGAUACUUGAUCUGGUUUUUCUAGAUAUAAUAAAAUAUAUUAUGUUUCUUUUAGAAAAUUUAAUAA